Drosophila teissieri is the source of this 644-nucleotide long non-coding RNA. RefSeq lists it as uncharacterized. The record is from RefSeq and is a predicted model, not a curated record. Lineage: Eukaryota; Metazoa; Arthropoda; Insecta; Diptera; Drosophilidae. The transcript has 4 exons.
AAAAGGGAUAGUACUUGUGGUUCAGACCCUUGAUCAAAUUUAAUGGCACCACACGUUCGCCAGUGUGAUACCCAUCGAGAACGGCCAUUUCCUCGGCCGUCAGCUCAAAAUCGAAGAUAUCGAAGUUUUCAGAAAUUCGAACCAAAUAUGUGUUUUAUAAAGCGACUUUGGAGAUCAGUUUAUGGUUUUUUUCGAGGACCUCGCGUUCGUUUCACACCGAACACUAUCAACAUUUCGGAGAGUCGCGAAAUGACAAAUCGAAACCACAUUCGAGGUUAUAUGUCUGAGCAACGUCGCAAGGCGCAGGAAAGAUACGAUAAUCUUUGAUAAGACGAUUUAAAAUAUAAGUUAUUAUUUUUUCAGAGGAUCAUAUCUAGCACAAAAUAUAUUUAUAUAUGACUUUUGGCAAGCACUUAAAAGUAAGGAUAGUACUGAUGAUUCUUGGCUUUUUCAAAUUUCCAAAUUCUCCGCCCUGUAUUGUAGAUCUUCAACUGAAGCAACUCCUCCGGCGUUAGGUGGAAAUCAAAUAUAUCCAGAUUCUCGACGAGAUGGGCUCGCUGGGCAGCUUUUGGAAUAGGUACCGUGCCAAUGUCGAUCUGUGGAGCAUUUGUAUUCUUUAGCCAAUAAAUAUCUUCAUCACUUUA